UUGAUUUUACUGGGCUGUAUAGCUCAACCCUUUACCAUAUUUCAGAAAUAAUUAAGCAGGAACUAAUUCAUGAGCUCCCGGAGUCUGACCAUGAGCCGAAAUGCAUGCAGAAUUUACAUGUGGAACUGGUGGAGGAUUCACUGGAUAGAUUUAUUUUUCUGUUUUGCCGAAGUGUCAGCUUAAUCAGAUGAGUUUACUUGCUGUAUUGGAUGAAAACUGUUUGUAGUUGAGUUGAGAGGCAUAGUAGUUAUGAGCACUUUUUGUAGGAAUUGUUGAUGAGUAAAAUAGUAGGUCUAUAUUGUGUUAAUAUACCUGUAAUGUAAUUAGUACCUGUUACAGUGGGAAAACUCUUGUUAAUAUUGGGAUGUAUCCGUUGACACUAGUAGAUGAAUGAAUACAUUGACAUAAUGUGGUGUAAAAUGCGGGUUGGUACAUUAGAUUUUUCUAACAGUUAUGCUGUUUUAGAGAAAUUUUUUUUAGGAUAAUUAGAGAGGGGAUUUAAGAGGAAGAAAAGAGAAGUUUUUUUCCCCUGAAUCAAAUUUUCAUUUAUCUACUUCUUGAUAUUUAUUUGCAAAACAUUAGCAUAUUGCUUUGACCAUUGACAAGCUGAUGAGUAGGGGAAGAGUGAUAGUGAAUGCUUGUUAAUUAUGUAAAAGAGCGGCUGAGACCUUUUUGUACGUAUCUUUUUGUGCAUAUCUUUUGUAAAAGAGUGAUAGUGAAUGGCAUUUAUAUAUGCCAUUGACAAGCUGAUGAGUUGUAAAUAUCUUUUGUACAUAGAUUGUAUCCCCUUGGUGCUAUUGCAUUAAUAUAUUGCUUAUACUUUUUUAUCUCAAAAAAAAUUAGCAUAUUGGUUUGAUAUUUAAGGUGGAUUAAUCAUUAAUUGGUGGCAUUCUAGGUGAUUGGUCUCUAACUGCCUGAUAGUGGAGUUCCUUUUUAAUUAGCCAUCCAUUUUAUUGUUUUAGCAUUAAAUCGUGUGCUUUAUGUAGACUAAAAUAAAGUUAUACACUACCAAACUUUGUCAGUUUAUCAAUAUACGAACUUUGAAAUUACUUUCUAUUUAUUGUAGUUGGUUUCAGUUUUAAGCUUCUUUUGCAAAUCAUCUUAUACUUAUUUCGUCUGAUUGAAGCAGAUAAUGGCUUCAAAACAGCCAAAUACCGGGCUCUUUGUGGGAUUAAACAAAGGCCACAUUGUAACCAAGAAGGAAUUGGCUCCUCGACCCUCUCUUAGAAAAGGAGUAAGUUUUUUCUAUGCCCGCAGAAUUUCCAUAACCUACUUAUGUUUUUGAGUUUGGUUUCUUGUAGCUGUAUUUUGCUGUGCUAUAUAUUUUGCAGUUGAUUUUUUUAGCAGGCUCAGUUGAAAUUUCUUUGUUGCAGUUAUGAAUAUUGAAGUUCUUAGCUUGCUUCUGAUUAACUGCUGAUAUGUAUGUGAUCUCUCUCCUGUUUUCCAUCUGUUGCCCUCUCAUCAUAAUUCACAG
RNAcentral lists this long non-coding RNA (1474 nucleotides) under Carica papaya (papaya). RNAcentral describes it as "long non-coding RNA (CPAP_LNC015267)". The record is from RNAcentral. Lineage: Eukaryota; Viridiplantae; Streptophyta; Magnoliopsida; Brassicales; Caricaceae.